UACAGAGGUCCCAAGCGUUGUUCGGAUUCACUGGGCGUAAAGGGUGCGUAGGCGGUUGGGUAAGUCUGAUGUGAAAUCUCACAGCUUAACUGUGAAACUGCAUUGGAUACUAUCCGGCUAGAGGAAUAGAGGGGAGACUGGAAUACUUGGUGUAGCAGUGAAAUGCGUAGAUAUCAAGUGGAACACCAGUGGCGAAGGCGAGUCUCUGGACAUUUCCUGACGCUGAGGCACGAAAGCCAGGGGAGCAAACGGG
Molecule: ribosomal RNA, 253 nt
Filed under: uncultured bacterium
Lineage: Bacteria
Description: partial 16S ribosomal RNA
Rfam family: Bacterial small subunit ribosomal RNA
Source: RNAcentral